Molecule: ribosomal RNA, 800 nt
Filed under: marine metagenome
Description: bacterial SSU rRNA
Rfam family: Bacterial small subunit ribosomal RNA
Source: RNAcentral
AGUUCGUAGGUGGUUAAAAAAGUUGGUGGUGAAAUCCCAGAGCUUAACUCUGGAACUGCCAUCAAAACUUUUUAGCUAGAGUAUGAUAGAGGAAAGCAGAAUUUCUAGUGUAGAGGUGAAAUUCGUAGAUAUUAGAAAGAAUACCAAUUGCGAAGGCAGCUUUCUGGAUCAUUACUGACACUGAGGAACGAAAGCAUGGGUAGCGAAGAGGAUUAGAUACCCUCGUAGUCCAUGCUGUAAACGAUGUGUGUUAGACGUUGGAAAUUUAUUUUCAGUGUCGCAGCGAAAGCAAUAAACACACCGCCUGGGGAGUACGACCGCAAGGUUAAAACUCAAAUGAAUUGACGGGGACCCGCACAAGUAGUGGAGCAUGUGGUUUAAUUCGAAGAUACGCGCAGAACCUUACCAACACUUGACAUGUUCGUCGCGACUCUAAGAGAUUAGAGUUUUCGGUUCGGCCGGACGAAACACAGGUGCUGCAUGGCUGUCGUCAGCUCGUGUCGUGAGAUGUUGGGUUAAGUCCCGCAACGAGCGCAACCCUCACUUUUAGUUGCCAUCAUUUAGUUGGGCACUCUGAAAGAACUGCCAGUGAUAAGCUGGAGGAAGGUGGGGAUGACGUCAAGUCCUCAUGGCCCUUACGUGUUGGGCUACACACGUGCUACAAUGGUAUCUACAACAGGAAGCAAAAUGGCAACAUUAAGCAAAUCCCUAAAAGAUACCUCAGUUCGGAUUGCACUCUGCAACUCGAGUGCAUGAAGCUGGAAUUACUAGUAAUCGUGGAUCAGCGUGCCACGGUGAAU